RNAcentral lists this ribosomal RNA (465 nucleotides) under uncultured bacterium. Its description in RNAcentral is "partial 16S ribosomal RNA". It matches the Rfam family "Bacterial small subunit ribosomal RNA", at positions 28 to 507 of the family's 1533-position model. The record is from RNAcentral.
GACGAACGCUGGCGGCGUGCUUAACACAUGCAAGUCGAACGGUAAGGCUCCAGCUUGCUGGGGUACACGAGUGGCGAACGGGUGAGUAACACGUGGGUGACCUGCCCUGCACUUCGGGAUAAGCCUGGGAAACUGGGUCUAAUACCGGAUAGGACCGCACCGUGAGGGUGUGGUGGAAAGUUUUUGCGGUGUGGGAUGGGCCCGCGGCCUAUCAGCUUGUUGGUGGGGUAAUGGCCUACCAAGGCGGCGACGGGUAGCCGGCCUGAGAGGGUGGACGGCCACAUUGGGACUGAGACACGGCCCAGACUCCUACGGGAGGCAGCAGUGGGGAAUAUUGCACAAUGGGCGGAAGCCUGAUGCAGCGACGCCGCGUGGGGGAUGACGGCCUUCGGGUUGUAAACUCCUUUCACCAUCGACGAAGGGUUUCUGACGGUAGAUGGAGAAGAAGCACCGGCUAACUACGUG